Magnolia sinica is the source of this 707-nucleotide long non-coding RNA. RefSeq lists it as uncharacterized. Lineage: Eukaryota; Viridiplantae; Streptophyta; Magnoliopsida; Magnoliales; Magnoliaceae. The record is from RefSeq and is a predicted model, not a curated record. The transcript has 2 exons.
UUAUAGUAGCUUAGUUUUUGUUUCUGCAUGGAGAACUCGUUGAGAAGCCAAUGUGUCUGGAUCAGUUUGCAGUCAUUCUAUGAUUUGAAGCUCAGAUUGGAUGAGUAUAGUAAUUUCACAUCUUGAGUUUGAAAUUUAAUUGUGUUAAUUAUAUUCUUAUAAAGAGUUAUCUAUUUGGUAUGACUUAAGGAAAUUUAAUUGAGAAUUCUUGCCAUAUAAUCUUUGGCCAUUUUUUUUUCCAAGCAAUUGAUUUAUAAUUUUUUCUUAACCGUCUUUUGUAGGACGUUGAUUGACAGAUUAGGAAAUUCGAUCUGUAAGAUUUUCGGAGCAUCUUCCAUCUAUGGCAGUGCCUAUCAAAUCAAAGUUUGGAUUUUAGAAGUAUCAUCCCCACUUGUAACAAGCAUCAUCAAGAUACUUGGACCGAAUGCCCUAGGAACUUAUACUCCCUGUUCUAUCCAUGAAUAGUUUCUAAAGUUAGACAUUUUUCUCACAGCAGAGAGUGCGAUGAUCUGCACAUGCAAAGUAACCAGAGAAAAUGAAGAAUGGUGGAAUGGUGAUGAAAUGUUUGGAUGAUAUCUUGUAAUUGUAACAGGAGGGCAUGGAUAUUUUGUUUCAGAUAUUUUGAUAUGUAACCAUGUGCUAAUAUUUGUUAUAUGUUCUGUACUUUAAUUCAUAGAAACUGUUCAAUUAAGGUUUGAUUUAUUUCA